RNAcentral lists this ribosomal RNA (722 nucleotides) under uncultured Methanosarcina sp. RNAcentral describes it as "bacterial SSU rRNA". It matches the Rfam family "Archaeal small subunit ribosomal RNA", at positions 156 to 879 of the family's 1478-position model. Lineage: Archaea; Methanobacteriati; Methanobacteriota; Methanomicrobia; Methanosarcinales; Methanosarcinaceae. The record is from RNAcentral.
ACGCAUAUGUGCUGGAAUGCUUUAUGCGUCAAAUGGAUUCGUCUGCCCAAGGAUGGGUCUGCGGCCUAUCAGGUAGUAGUGGGUGUAAUGUACCUACUAGCCGACAACGGGUACGGGUUGUGAGAGCAAGAGCCCGGAGAUGGAUUCUGAGACAUGAAUCCAGGCCCUACGGGGCGCAGCAGGCGCGAAAACUUUACAAUGCGGGAAACCGUGAUAAGGGGACACCGAGUGUCAGCAUCAUAUGCUGGCUGUCCAGGUGUGUAAAAUACACCUGUUAGCAAGGGCCGGGCAAGACCGGUGCCAGCCGCCGCGGUAACACCGGCGGCCCGAGUGGUGAUCGUGAUUAUUGGGUCUAAAGGGUCCGUAGCCGGUUUGGUCAGUCCUCCGGGAAAUCUGAUAGCUCAACUAUUAGGCUAUCGGGGGAUACUACCAGACUUGGAACCGGGAGAGGUAAGAGGUACUACAGGGGUAGGAGUGAAAUCUUGUAAUCCCUGUGGGACCACCUGUGGCGAAGGCGUCUUACCAGAACGGGUUCGACGGUGAGGGACGAAAGCUGGGGGCACGAACCGGAUUAGAUACCCGGGUAGUCCCAGCCGUAAACGAUGCUCGCUAGGUGUCAGGCAUGGCGCGACCGUGUCUGGUGCCGCAGGGAAGCCGUGAAGCGAGCCACCUGGGAAGUACGGCCGCAAGGCUGAAACUUAAAGGAAUUGGCGGGGGAGCAC